CGGACGGGUGAGUAAUGUAUGGGGAUCUGCCUGAUGGCGGGGGAUAACUACUGGAAACGGUAGCUAAUACCGCAUAAUGUCUACGGACCAAAGCGGGGGACCUCCGGGCCUCGCGCCAUCAGAUGAACCCAUAUGGGAUUAGCUAGUGGGUAAGGUAACGGCUUACCUAGGCGACGAUCCCUAGCUGGUCUGAGAGGAUGAUCAGCCACACUGGGACUGAGACACGGCCCAG
RNAcentral lists this ribosomal RNA (232 nucleotides) under uncultured bacterium. RNAcentral's name for it is "partial 16S ribosomal RNA". It matches the Rfam family "Bacterial small subunit ribosomal RNA", at positions 99 to 334 of the family's 1533-position model. The record is from RNAcentral.